AGAACACAUGUUGAUUCUUAUCAAGUUGGUGGGCAGGCAAUCUUUUCUACUCCAUAUAUUGCAUUUAUAUCUGUAAUGAUUAACCCUAAUGGUCUCAGAUCAGCAGUAGAAAGAAGUAGGCCUAAUUAUUUUAGGUGUAAUCUUCAAAGAUAUUAGGGGGAAAUAAACACUGUACCCAAAUCCACGUUUUACAAUGCUCCUGGGAAAUGGGUAGGCCUCCACCUAUAGUCCUUCACAGUUUUACAGCUGUGAUAUAUUUAUUUAUUUACAUAGAUCACAUACAUAAAUAAAUAUGAUAGCUGUAGGUAGCGUUGAGAUAAAAUUCCCAUAUUCUAUUGCUACUAACAUAAAUCCUAAUAUAUCAUGUUUUCCUCAUUUGCUCUGUAGGAGGUUCGUCAUAUGAAGGACAUUCAAGUGGAUGUGACCCCUAACCUGCAAUAGGGGCUCAGUGAGGUGACAGACAUCCUGUAAUGGAUCUCCAGCUAGUGUCUGAGGACCUGGAGAAGGCUGUGUCUACAGCUGUGGGGCAGGACAAGCAUGGGACAGACAUCCUGAACGAAUCUGAUGUCAGAGCUCCCAUCAGCCCUCUACACCUCGCUUCACCACCAUGCUAUGGAGGUCCUGGUUCAGUCUCUGCUGGAUCUAGACGUGAGGGACAGCCAGGGGCGCACCCCUCUGGACCUGGCUGCCUUAAAAAGCCUUGUGGAGUGUGUUGACGUCCUCAUCAACCAGGAAGCCUCCAUCCUGGUUAAAGACUUCACUCUGAAGAGGACCCCCAUCCACGCUGCAGCAACCAACGGACAUUCGGAGUGUUUGCGUUUGCUGAUUGGAAAUGCUGACAUCCAGAGUACAGUGGACAUUCAAGACGGAAUAGUCACUUGGGUUUUGGAUACAAUUCCUGAAAUAAAGAGAUUUUGAAACUGGGGCUGCAUCCAAAAUGGCAACCUGUACCCUACUUGGUACAGUACUUUAAACCAAAGUCCUAUGGGCUCAGGUCAAGAGUAGUGUACCAUAUAGGGAAUAGGUUGCCAUUUGGGACUCAGCCUGGUUACUACCAGUUUGUAAUAUGACCUGUUGUCUUGUGUAUCAGAACCCCUCUGAUGCUGUCGGUGCUGAGCGGACACAGACUGUGUGUACUCCCUGUUCAACAAGGGAGCAAGCGUAGAAGCCAAAGACAAAUGGCACAGAACAGCUCUACACAGAAGGGUUGUGAGGAGAGUUGGCUGCGGUGACUUUUCACGAGGAGUGCAGCACAGUGCCAGCUUCCUGGUUCGGGAAGGUAAGGGGCGGAGCCAUGUCCACCUGGUGGCGGCGUCCGGACACAUCGGGAUACUGGGGUGGCUCCUACACACCGCCCAGUCAGUGUGGACCCUCCCCGUCAUCACAGACAACCAGGGCUACACGCCACUACACUUGGCCUGCUACAACGGAGGUUCGUCAUAUGAAGGACAUUCAAGUGGAUGUGACCCCUAACCUGCAAUAGGGGCUCAGUGAGGUGACAGACAUCCUGUAAUGGAUCUCCAGCUAGUGUCUGAGGACCUGGAGAAGGCUGUGUCUACAGCUGUGGGGCAGGACAAGCAUGGGACAGACAUCCUGAACGAAUCUGAUGUCAGAGCUCCCAUCAGCCCUCUACACCUCGCUGCGGUGACUUUUCACGAGGAGUGCAGCACAGUGCCAGCUUCCUGGUUCGGGAAGGUAAGGGGCGGAGCCAUGUCCACCUGGUGGCGGCGUCCGGACACAUCGGGAUACUGGGGUGGCUCCUACACACCGCCCAGUCAGUGUGGACCCUCCCCGUCAUCACAGACAACCAGGGCUACACGCCACUACACUUGGCCUGCUACAACGGUAUGUACUGGACAGAGGGACAGCGAAGUGGGCCAGAGGCCACAAACAAAUACACACAUAAACAUAGCGUGUCUUAAAUCACCACAGCCAGCUUCAGGAGGGCACGAACCGAGACAGUCCGCACAGGAACCUUAAGAGUCCCUCAGACAGAGAGAGAGAAGAGGGAGGGAUAGGGGGAGGCACAACAGGCCCACACUCAUCCUCUCAUACCACCAGGUUCCCUUCCAGCAGAUACUGGACUUCAGAGGAACUGCUGCUGCUAUACCCCAUCUUUACCUUUACCCACAAAGGUCCUAAACGGUAGAAAGUGUCCGGCCAACAGACAGACGCACACCUUAUGACGGCAAUAACCUGUAGUCCAAGGGGAUAGUAGCACUUCACUGAGAGCAAAACAGACAGGGACCAAAAGAUGUGGAAGAAGCAUUUUCAAAACCUGUUUUGACUGUAGAAAUUGGGCUGAGUGUUUGUGCUGAGAAAAGACAUAAGGAGUGAUGUUUCAUUUAAGUUUCAUGAGAGUGAUUGUCAUGUUUAUCCGCACACUAAGACAGUCAGAACGCACCUAGCCUCUUGUCUGUAAUCCAUGUGGGAGGAGGGGAAAUCAUACAUUCUGUAUGAACAAAUAUU
RNA transcript from Oncorhynchus kisutch (coho salmon), 2469 nucleotides. It is a transcript of the gene named serine/threonine-protein phosphatase 6 regulatory ankyrin repeat subunit A-like, with no coding region annotated. The transcript has 8 exons. NCBI's taxonomy places the organism in Eukaryota, Metazoa, Chordata, Actinopteri, Salmoniformes, Salmonidae. The record is from RefSeq and is a predicted model, not a curated record.